Molecule: ribosomal RNA, 519 nt
Filed under: uncultured bacterium
Lineage: Bacteria
Description: bacterial SSU rRNA
Rfam family: Bacterial small subunit ribosomal RNA
Source: RNAcentral
AAUCAACGCUGGCGGCGUGCCUAACACAUGCAAGUCGAACGCGAAAGGGGCUUCGGCCCUGAGUAGAGUGGCGAACGGGUGAGUAACACGUGGGUGAUCUACCUCUGAGUGGGGGAUAACGUUCCGAAAGGAGCGCUAAUACCGCAUGACGUCCUGGGUUUGAAGACCUGGACACCAAAGUCGGGGACCGCAAGGCCUGACGCUUGGAGAGGAGCCCGCGCCUGAUUAGCUAGUUGGUGAGGUAAUGGCUCACCAAGGCGACGAUCAGUAGCCGGCCUGAGAGGGCGGACGGCCACACUGGGACUGAGACACGGCCCAGACUCCUACGGGAGGCAGCAGUGGGGAAUUGUUCGCAAUGGGCGCAAGCCUGACGACGCAACGCCGCGUGGAGGAUGAAGGUCUUCGGAUUGUAAACUCCUGUUGACCGGGAAGAAUGGACUCCGCAUUAACACCGCGGGGGAAUGACGGUACCGGUUGAGGAAGCCACGGCUAACUCUGUGCCAGCCGCCGCCGUAACAC